Molecule: ribosomal RNA, 347 nt
Filed under: uncultured bacterium
Lineage: Bacteria
Description: bacterial SSU rRNA
Rfam family: Bacterial small subunit ribosomal RNA
Source: RNAcentral
AGCGAACGCUGGCGGCAGGCCUAAUACAUGCAAGUCGAGCGCCCCUUCGGGGGAGCGGCGGACGGGUGAGUAACGCGUGGGAACGUGCCCUUUGGUACGGAACAACUGAGGGAAACUUCAGCUAAUACCGUAUGUGCCCUUCGGGGAAGAUUUAUCGCCAUUGGAGCGGCCCGCGUUGGAUUAGGUAGUUGGUGAGGUAAAGGCUCACCAAGCCUACGAUCCAUAGCUGGUCUGAGAGGGGAUCAGCCACACUGGGACUGAGACACGGCCCAGACUCCUACGGGAGGCAGCAGUAGGGAAUAUUGGACAAUGGGCGAAAGCCUGAUCCAGCAAUGCCGCGUGAGUGA